RNAcentral lists this ribosomal RNA (301 nucleotides) under uncultured bacterium. RNAcentral describes it as "partial 16S ribosomal RNA". It matches the Rfam family "Bacterial small subunit ribosomal RNA", at positions 509 to 807 of the family's 1533-position model. The record is from RNAcentral.
CAGCAGCCACGGUAAUACGAAGGGUGCGAGCGUUAAUCGGAAUUACUGGGCGUAAAGCGUGCGCAGGCGGUUCGUUAAGACAGAUGUGAAAUCCCCGGGCUUAACCUGGGAACUGCAUUUGUGACUGGCGAGCUAGAGUAUGGCAGAGGGGGGUAGAAUUCCACGUGUAGCAGUGAAAUGCGUAGAGAUGUGGAGGAAUACCGAUGGCGAAGGCAGCCCCCUGGGCCAAUACUGACGCUCAUGCACGAAAGCGUGGGGAGCAAACAGGAUUAGAUACCCGCGUAGUCCCUGUCUCUUAUAC